CGAAGCUGGAAUCGCUAGUAAUCGCGAAUCAGAAUGUCGCGGUGAAUACGUUCCCGGGUCUUGUACACACCGCCCGUCACACCAUGGGAGUCAGCAACGCCCGAAGUCAGUGACCCAACCGAAAGGAGGGAGCUGCCGAAGGCGGGGCAGGUAACUGGGGUGAAGUCGUAACAAGGUAGC
This 180-nucleotide ribosomal RNA is filed under the name uncultured bacterium. RNAcentral describes it as "partial 16S ribosomal RNA". It matches the Rfam family "Bacterial small subunit ribosomal RNA", at positions 1321 to 1500 of the family's 1533-position model. The record is from RNAcentral.